GGUGUUAGUUCAUUUAGGGCGUUAGAUUGUAACUCUAAAAGAGGCUGAUUGCCCCCG
This 57-nucleotide transfer RNA is filed under the name Lyonsia norwegica. Its description in RNAcentral is "tRNA-Tyr". The record is from RNAcentral. Lineage: Eukaryota; Metazoa; Mollusca; Bivalvia; Lyonsiidae.